This 262-nucleotide ribosomal RNA is filed under the name uncultured archaeon. Its description in RNAcentral is "partial 16S ribosomal RNA". It matches the Rfam family "Archaeal small subunit ribosomal RNA", at positions 748 to 1008 of the family's 1478-position model. The record is from RNAcentral.
CAGCCGUAAACUAUGCGCGUUAGGUGUACUGGUGACCACGAGUCACCGGGGUGCCGAAGGGAAACCGUGAAACGUGCCGCCUGGGAAGUACGGUCGCAAGGCUGAAACUUAAAGGAAUUGGCGGGGGGAGCACCACAAUGGGUGGAGCCUGCGGUUUAAUUGGACUCAACGCCGGAAAUCUCACCGGAUAGGACAGACAUAUGAUAGUCGGGCUGAAGACUCUACUUGAUGAUCUGAGAGGUGGUGCAUGGCGUCAGUGACU